AAGAGAAAUACUGGGUCAUAUGGUAAUCCUACUUUAAAUUUUUGAGCAAUUACCAAACUGCUUUUCACAAUAAUUGAACCAUUUUACAUUCUCACCAGCAAU
This 102-nucleotide microRNA precursor is filed under the name Marmota monax (woodchuck). The record is from RNAcentral. Lineage: Eukaryota; Metazoa; Chordata; Mammalia; Rodentia; Sciuridae.